Molecule: ribosomal RNA, 301 nt
Filed under: uncultured bacterium
Lineage: Bacteria
Description: partial 16S ribosomal RNA
Rfam family: Bacterial small subunit ribosomal RNA
Source: RNAcentral
CAGUAGCCGCGGUAAUACGAGGGGGGCAAGCGUUGUUCGGAAUUAUUGGGCGUAAAGGGUGCGUAGGCGGUUUGACAAGUCUUGUGUGAAAUCUCUGGGCUCAACCCAGAGUCUGCACGGGAAACUGUCGGGCUAGAGGAUGGGAGAGGUGAGUGGAAUUUCCGGUGUAGCGGUGAAAUGCGUAGAUAUCGGAAGGAACACCUGUGACGAAGGCGGCUCACUGGACCAUUUCUGACGCUGAUGCACGAAAGCUAGGGGAGCAAACAGGACUAGAUACCCCCGUAGUCCCUGUCUCUUAUAC